AGUGGCGAACGGGUGAGUAAUACAUCGGAACGUGCCCUGUAGUGGGGGAUAACUAGUCGAAAGAUUAGCUAAUACCGCAUACGACCUGAGGGUGAAAGUGGGGGACCGCAAGGCCUCAUGCUAUAGGAGCGGCCGAUGUCUGAUUAGCUAGUUGGUGGGGUAAAGGCCCACCAAGGCGACGAUCAGUAGCUGGUCUGAGAGGACGAUCAGCCACACUGGGACUGAGACACGGCCCAGACUCCUACGGGAGGCAGCAGUGGGGAAUUUUGGACAAUGGGCGAAAGCCUGAUCCAGCAAUGCCGCGUGUGUGAAGAAGGCCUUCGGGUUGUAAAGCACUUUUGUCCGGAAAGAAAUGGCUCUGGUUAAUACCUGGGGUCGAUGACGGUACCGGAAGAAUAAGGACCGGCUAACUACGUGCCAGCAGCCGCGGUAAUACGUAGGGUCCAAGCGUUAAUCGGAAUUACUGGGCGUAAAGCGUGCGCAGGCGGUUGUGCAAGACCGAUGUGAAAUCCCCGAGCUUAACUUGGGAAUUGCAUUGGUGACUGCACGGCUAGAGUGUGUCAGAGGGGGGUAGAAUUCCACGUGUAGCAGUGAAAUGCGUAGAGAUGUGGAGGAAUACCGAUGGCGAAGGCAGCCCCCUGGGAUAACACUGACGCUCAUGCACGAAAGCGUGGGGAGCAAACAGGAUUAGAUACCCUGGUAGUCCACGCCCUAAACGAUGUCAACUAGUUGUUGGGGAUUCAUUUCCUUAGUAACGUAGCUAACGCGUGAAGUUGACCGCCUGGGGAGUACGGUCGCAAGAUUAAAACUCAAAGGAAUUGACGGGGACCCGCACAAGCGGUG
This 843-nucleotide ribosomal RNA is filed under the name Ralstonia sp. RNAcentral describes it as "bacterial SSU rRNA". It matches the Rfam family "Bacterial small subunit ribosomal RNA", at positions 94 to 934 of the family's 1533-position model. Lineage: Bacteria; Pseudomonadati; Pseudomonadota; Betaproteobacteria; Burkholderiales; Burkholderiaceae. The record is from RNAcentral.